Regulatory RNA element from Anoxybacillus sp. B7M1, 89 nucleotides. It matches the Rfam family "Glycine riboswitch aptamer". Rfam says of the family: This family represents the bacterial glycine riboswitch. Glycine riboswitches usually consist of two metabolite-binding aptamers domains with similar structures in tandem. The record is from Rfam. NCBI's taxonomy places the organism in Bacteria, Bacillati, Bacillota, Bacilli, Caryophanales, Anoxybacillaceae.
AUGAGAGCAAGGGGAGAGACUACAAAUUGUAGCGCCGAAGGAGCAAGUGGCAACACGAAUCUCUCAGGCAAAAGAACUCUUGCUUGACG